This 253-nucleotide ribosomal RNA is filed under the name uncultured bacterium. RNAcentral's name for it is "partial 16S ribosomal RNA". It matches the Rfam family "Bacterial small subunit ribosomal RNA", at positions 524 to 776 of the family's 1533-position model. The record is from RNAcentral.
UACGUAGGGGGCAAGCGUUGUCCGGAUUUAUUGGGCGUAAAGCGUGCGCAGGCGGUUCGUUGUGUCGGCGGUGAAAGCCCCGGGCUUAACCUGGGAAUGGCCGUUGAAACUGGCGAACUGGAGUGUGGCAGAGGGGGGUGGAAUUCCCAGUGUAGAGGUGAAAUUCGUAGAUAUUGGGAAGAACACCGGUGGCGAAGGCGGCUAUCUGGACCGACAUUGACGCUGAGGCGCGAAAGCGUGGGGAGCAAACAGG